UAGCGACAGGCUUAACACAUGCAAGUCGAGGGGCAGCGGGGGUAGCGAUACCCGCCGGCGACCGGCGCACGGGUGAGUAACGCGUAUGCAACUUGCCUAUCAGAGGGGGAUAACCCGGCGAAAGUCGGACUAAUACCGCAUGAAGCAGGGGCCCCGCAUGGGGAUAUUUGCUAAAGAUUCAUCGCUGAUAGAUAGGCAUGCGUUCCAUUAGGCAGUUGGCGGGGUAACGGCCCACCAAACCGACCAUGGAUAGGGGUUCUGAGAGGAAGGUCCCCCACAUUGGUACUGAGACACGGACCAAACUCCUACGGGAGGCAGCAGUGAGGAAUAUUGGUCAAUGGCCGAGAGGCUGAACCAGCCAAGUCGCGUGAGGGAUGAAGGUUCUAUGGAUCGUAAACCUCUUUUAUAAGGGAAUAAAGUGCGGGACGUGUCCCGUUUUGUAUGUACCUUAUGAAUAAGGAUCGGCUAACUCCGUGCCAGCAGCCGCGGUAAUACGGAGGAUCCGAGCGUUAUCCGGAUUUAUUGGGUUUAAAGGGUGCGUAGGCGGCCUUUUAAGUCAGCGGUGAAAGUCUGUGGCUCAACCAUAGAAUUUGCCGUUGAAACUGGGGGGCUUGAGUAUGUUUGAGGCAGGCGGAAUGCGUGGUGUAGCGGUGAAAUGCAUAGAUAUCACGCAGAACCCCGAUUGCGAAGGCAGCCUGCCAAGCCAUGACUGACGCUGAUGCACGAAAGCGUGGGGAUCAAACAGGAUUAGAUACCCUGGUAGUCCACGCAGUAAACGAUGAUCACUAGCUGUUUGCGAUACACUGUAAGCGGCACAGCGAAAGCGUUAAGUGAUCCACCUGGGGAGUACGCCGGCAACGGUGAAACUCAAAGGAAUUGACGGGGGCCCGCACAAGCGGAGGAACAUGUGGUUUAAUUCGAUGAUACGCGAGGAACCUUACCCGGGUUUGAACGCAUUCGGACCGAGGUGGAAACACCUUUUCUAGCAAUAGCCGUUUGCGAGGUGCUGCAUGGUUGUCGUCAGCUCGUGCCGUGAGGUGUCGGCUUAAGUGCCAUAACGAGCGCAACCCUUGCCACUAGUUACUAACAGGUAAAGCUGAGGACUCUGGUGGGACUGCCAGCGUAAGCUGCGAGGAAGGCGGGGAUGACGUCAAAUCAGCACGGCCCUUACAUCCGGGGCGACACACGUGUUACAAUGGCGUGGACAAAGGGAGGCCACCUGGCGACAGGGAGCGAAUCCCCAAACCACGUCUCAGUUCGGAUCGGAGUCUGCAACCCGACUCCGUGAAGCUGGAUUCGCUAGUAAUCGCGCAUCAGCCAUGGCGCGGUGAAUACGUUCCCGGGCCUUGUACACACCGCCCGUCAAGCCAUGGGAGCCGGGGGUACCUGAAGUCCGUAACCGAAAGGAUCGGCCUAGGGUAAAACUGGUGACU
Molecule: ribosomal RNA, 1433 nt
Filed under: uncultured organism
Description: SSU rRNA
Rfam family: Bacterial small subunit ribosomal RNA
Source: RNAcentral